CGGUUUCCAUUGGGCGAACAGGAGCAAGAGCAGCGAGCAGACAGAGCAGCGCACGAGAGCAGCGGGGACGCGGGUUCACGUCUCGCGACUGGAACAUUCACGCUGCUCCGAGAGCAACGCAGCGAUGAGGAGGAUGUGACGUCAGGAGUCACGCGACCAAACUUUUCCCGCGCUCUUGUUGCCGCCUGCAUUCCGUCGCGCGCGCGCAGCAUAUUCGGUGGCGGCCUUGCGUUCGUCGCUGUGUUUAGCAUGACAAUGGGUGAAGAAGCACAACGGCUGUUCAUGACCAUGAUAAAGGAGUCACCGCUACCCGCAGCAUCAGCUGUCAUCGAUGCCUUGGCCAGUCCUGAGAACGUUGGCGAGAUACCCGACGAGAACACCGCUGCGUCGGACGUGGGCGAGAGGGGACCGCAGCCAGCGCCAGAAGUGAAAAGAGGCGGCGGAGGUGAGCUUGUAAAAC
This 460-nucleotide long non-coding RNA is filed under the name Dermacentor andersoni. Its description in RNAcentral is "uncharacterized LOC126519631". Lineage: Eukaryota; Metazoa; Arthropoda; Arachnida; Ixodida; Ixodidae. The record is from RNAcentral.